CCCCUGGUUUAUACAACAAUGCAAGUACUUGCAGAGUGUAAAAAUUUCAGUUACUCACAAACAUAAACGUCACAAUGAAUUAGAUUACAUCACUCAUCAUAUGAAUUUUGUGGUCCUUGCAUAAAUAUAAUUACAACAUAUUCAUCUAUCAAUUGGCAGAAAGUUUUUUUUUCGGUUCUUAACGAAUUUGUUUGUUUUGAUGAUACAAGCUUUCAAGGUUUUAUUGAUAAUUUCACUUGAUUUUUUUUAUUGGUUAAACAAUGGCUCAUCGGGGAAUUUGCCCAUAUGAUUAUAAACAUCAAGUUCCAAAUCAUCGUUUUGAAUUACACAUGUUGAUUUGUCCAAAAAAAUUUAAUGUGAAUGCUGAUGAAUCUGAUAAAAAAUCAUUGGUAUCGGAUGAUUCUGAAUCAAGUGACCGAACGAUCGAUGAAAAAAUUAAAUUAUUAAUAAAUACGGAUCAAAAGGAUGAUUUAAAACUCCUGACAUUAGCCGAAUAUGUAAAUGCAUCCGAAUCUCGACGAACCUUGUAUCGUCAUUGUCUAAGAAAUUAUUUAUGUCGCCAAAUCGUUAAUAACCAAAGUUUAUUCAGUGAAAAAUGAUAUAUUGAUGAAUUAAUGGUAAUCAAACUGAUUCAUGUUGGAACAAUAUGAGAUUUGUAUGACCGGUUGUAAAAUCCUGAUUGAAAUGAGCUUCAAGAUAAGAAUUGCCCAUCAAAACCAUGAAUGACUCUGAAAUCGUAGUUGAAAAACCAAUGUUGAACAACGAAAUCGAAUAAACGGAUUCAGC
Dermatophagoides farinae (American house dust mite) is the source of this 786-nucleotide non-coding RNA. The record is from RefSeq and is a predicted model, not a curated record. NCBI's taxonomy places the organism in Eukaryota, Metazoa, Arthropoda, Arachnida, Sarcoptiformes, Pyroglyphidae.